Leptinotarsa decemlineata (Colorado potato beetle) is the source of this 381-nucleotide long non-coding RNA. NCBI's taxonomy places the organism in Eukaryota, Metazoa, Arthropoda, Insecta, Coleoptera, Chrysomelidae. The record is from RefSeq and is a predicted model, not a curated record.
GAGAGAGGCGAAAGGAAUUCUGCGGAAAAAGGCCUAUGUUCAGCCCCGACGGCAAAUACCUAAACGAGAAUUAUUUCAUUUAUUUUAAUAUACCUGAAACGCUAACGGGUAUUAUUUUUCAAGCUACAUGGAUUACUGGAAAAACAAUUAUUCGAAAUGUACCUUCUCCUCUUAGAGAGUGGAAAAUGUAUGUGCCCAGAUUAGUCUUCGUCCCUGCAUAUUUUCUUUAGUAGGGUGAGUUGGUACAUCUGUUAUAAAAAUACCCUUAAAUCGCAAUGUAUACUUUUAUGAUUGAAAAAUCUAUUAAUAAAUUGGUAGAUGUAGCCGUUACUACGUGGUAGUAUAUAAUCAUGAAAAAUGAGAAAUAAAACUUUCUAUGAU